This 351-nucleotide long non-coding RNA is filed under the name Numida meleagris (helmeted guineafowl). RNAcentral's name for it is "lncRNA (ENSNMEG00000012733.1)". The record is from RNAcentral. Lineage: Eukaryota; Metazoa; Chordata; Aves; Galliformes; Numididae.
GCAACAGGUUCCAGGAUGCAAGAGCUGGACAAACUCCUCCAAAGCAAGCAAUUCUAGCCUGGGGGACUAGAGUGACAUAAUCCCUCUUACGGUCCAGCUGGAAGAGCUUUCUUCAUCUUAUUAACCUUCUGGAGGAGCAUCUGUCAACCCCAGUAGACUUCAGUAGCACUAUGAUAAACAACGGAAGUCUCUUCUGCUGCCUGUUCCUUUUGAACGUUGAUCAUUUGGGCAUUCCAGAGGUGGGCAUUUGUAAAGAUCCAUUCAACAUACAGAGAUUUCUGUGCAACUGCGCUUUAUCAUAGGAGACAUCCAGAUUGGCAGCAAGAAUCUGUUUUCUUGCACUGUAAGUAC